This 483-nucleotide ribosomal RNA is filed under the name Pseudoalteromonas sp. 1B1F2S32. Its description in RNAcentral is "bacterial SSU rRNA". It matches the Rfam family "Bacterial small subunit ribosomal RNA", at positions 380 to 877 of the family's 1533-position model. Lineage: Bacteria; Pseudomonadati; Pseudomonadota; Gammaproteobacteria; Alteromonadales; Pseudoalteromonadaceae. The record is from RNAcentral.
AGCCUGAUGCAGCCAUGCCGCGUGUGUGAAGAAGGCCUUCGGGUUGUAAAGCACUUUCAGUUGUGAGGAAAGGUUAGUAGUUAAUACCUGCUAGCUGUGACGUUAACAACAGAAGAAGCACCGGCUAACUCCGUGCCAGCAGCCGCGGUAAUACGGAGGGUGCGAGCGUUAAUCGGAAUUGGCGGUUUGUUAAGCGAGAUGUGAAAGCCCCGGGCUCAACCUGGGAACUGCAUUUCGAACUGGCAAACUAGAGUGUGAUAGAGGGUGGUAGAAUUUCAGGUGUAGCGGUGAAAUGCGUAGAGAUCUGAAGGAAUACCGAUGGCGAAGGCAGCCACCUGGGUCAACACUGACGCUCAUGUACGAAAGCGUGGGGAGCAAACGGGAUUAGAUACCCCGGUAGUCCACGCCGUAAACGAUGUCUACUAGGAGUUCGGUUUUUCGGAACUGUCUUCCAAAGCUAACGCAUUAAGUAGACCGCCUGGG